Molecule: ribosomal RNA, 1473 nt
Filed under: uncultured bacterium
Lineage: Bacteria
Description: bacterial SSU rRNA
Rfam family: Bacterial small subunit ribosomal RNA
Source: RNAcentral
AGAGUUUGAUCCUGGCUCAGGACGAACGCUGGCGGCGUGCUUAACACAUGCAAGUCGAACGAUGAUGCCCAGCUUGCUGGGUGGAUUAGUGGCGAACGGGUGAGUAACACGUGAGUAACCUGCCCCUGACUCUGGGAUAAGCGUUGGAAACGACGUCUAAUACUGGAUAUGAUCACUGGCCGCAUGGUCUGGUGGUGGAAAGAUUUUUUGGUUGGGGAUGGACUCGCGGCCUAUCAGCUUGUUGGUGAGGUAAUGGCUCACCAAGGCGACGACGGGUAGCCGGCCUGAGAGGGUGACCGGCCACACUGGGACUGAGACACGGCCCAGACUCCUACGGGAGGCAGCAGUGGGGAAUAUUGCACAAUGGGCGAAAGCCUGAUGCAGCAACGCCGCGUGAGGGAUGACGGCCUUCGGGUUGUAAACCUCUUUUAGUAGGGAAGAAGCGAAAGUGACGGUACCUGCAGAAAAAGCACCGGCUAACUACGUGCCAGCAGCCGCGGUAAUACGUAGGGUGCAAGCGUUGUCCGGAAUUAUUGGGCGUAAAGAGCUCGUAGGCGGUUUGUCGCGUCUGCUGUGAAAUCCCGAGGCUCAACCUCGGGCUUGCAGUGGGUACGGGCAGACUAGAGUGCGGUAGGGGAGAUUGGAAUUCCUGGUGUAGCGGUGGAAUGCGCAGAUAUCAGGAGGAACACCGAUGGCGAAGGCAGAUCUCUGGGCCGUAACUGACGCUGAGGAGCGAAAGCGUGGGGAGCGAACAGGAUUAGAUACCCUGGUAGUCCACGCCGUAAACGUUGGGCGCUAGAUGUAGGGACCUUUCCACGGUUUCUGUGUCGUAGCUAACGCAUUAAGCGCCCCGCCUGGGGAGUACGGCCGCAAGGCUAAAACUCAAAGGAAUUGACGGGGGCCCGCACAAGCGGCGGAGCAUGCGGAUUAAUUCGAUGCAACGCGAAGAACCUUACCAAGGCUUGACAUACACCGGAAACGGCCAGAGAUGGUCGCCCCCUUGUGGUCGGUGCACAGGUGGUGCAUGGUUGUCGUCAGCUCGUGUCGUGAGAUGUUGGGUUAAGUCCCGCAACGAGCGCAACCCUCGUUCUAUGUUGCCAGCGCGUUAUGGCGGGGACUCAUAGGAGACUGCCGGGGUCAACUCGGAGGAAGGUGGGGAUGACGUCAAAUCAUCAUGCCCCUUAUGUCUUGGGCUUCACGCAUGCUACAAUGGCCGGUACAAAGGGCUGCGAUACCGUAAGGUGGAGCGAAUCCCAAAAAGCCGGUCUCAGUUCGGAUUGAGGUCUGCAACUCGACCUCAUGAAGUCGGAGUCGCUAGUAAUCGCAGAUCAGCAACGCUGCGGUGAAUACGUUCCCGGGCCUUGUACACACCGCCCGUCAAGUCAUGAAAGUCGGUAACACCCGAAGCCGGUGGCCUAACCCUUGUGGAAGGAGCCGUCGAAGGUGGGAUCGGUGAUUAGGACUAAGUCGUAA